RNAcentral lists this ribosomal RNA (253 nucleotides) under uncultured bacterium. Its description in RNAcentral is "partial 16S ribosomal RNA". It matches the Rfam family "Bacterial small subunit ribosomal RNA", at positions 524 to 776 of the family's 1533-position model. The record is from RNAcentral.
UACGGAGGGGGCGAGCGUUAUUCGGAAUCAUUGGGCGUAAAGGGCGCGUAGGCGGCCCGCCGCGUCCGGGGUGAAAUCCUCCCGCUCAACGGGAGGACGGCCUCGGAUACGGGCGGGCUGGAGGGGGGUAGGGGCACGCGGAACUGUGGGUGGAGCGGUGAAAUGCGUUGAGAUCCACAGGAACUCCGGUGGCGAAGGCGGCGUGCUGGACCCCACCUGACGCUGAGGCGCGAAAGCCAGGGGAGCGAACGGG